UGGGGAAUUUUGGACAAUGGGCGAAAGCCUGAUCCAGCAAUGCCGCGUGUGUGAAGAAGGCCUUCGGGUUGUAAAGCACUUUUGUCCGGAAAGAAAUCCUUGGCUCUAAUACAGUCGGGGGAUGACGGUACCGGAAGAAUAAGCACCGGCUAACUACGUGCCAGCAGCCGCGGUAAUACGUAGGGUGCAAGCGUUAAUCGGAAUUACUGGGCGUAAAGCGUGCGCAGGCGGUUUGCUAAGACCGAUGUGAAAUCCCCGGGCUCAACCUGGGAACUGCAUUGGUGACUGGCAGGCUAGAGUAUGGCAGAGGGGGGUAGAAUUCCACGUGUAGCAGUGAAAUGCGUAGAGAUGUGGAGGAAUACCGAUGGCGAAGGCAGCCCCCUGGGCCAAUACUGACGCUCAUGCACGAAAGCGUGGGGAGCAAACAGGAUUAGAUACCCUGGUAGUCCACGCCCUAAAACGAUGUCAACUAGUUGUUGGGGGAUUCAUUUCCUUAGUAACGUAGCUAACGCGUGAAGUUGACCGCCUGGGGAGUACGGUCGCAAGAUUAAAACUCAAAU
This 560-nucleotide ribosomal RNA is filed under the name uncultured bacterium. RNAcentral describes it as "partial 16S ribosomal RNA". It matches the Rfam family "Bacterial small subunit ribosomal RNA", at positions 355 to 906 of the family's 1533-position model. The record is from RNAcentral.